Molecule: ribosomal RNA, 120 nt
Filed under: Pteropus alecto (black flying fox)
Lineage: Eukaryota; Metazoa; Chordata; Mammalia; Chiroptera; Pteropodidae
Source: RNAcentral
GUCUAUGGCCAUUCCACCCCGAACGCACCCGAUCUCGUCCAAUGUCGGAAGCUAAGCAAGGUCGGGCCUGGUUAGUGCUUGGAUGGGGAGACCGCCUAGGAAUACCAGGUGCUGUAGAUG